GAUGAACGCUGGCGGUAUGCUUAACACAUGCAAGUCGAACGGUCUCUUCGGAGAUAGUGGCGGACGGGUGAGUAACGCGUGAGAAUCUACAUUCAGGUCGGGGACAACCACUGGAAACGGUGGCUAAUACCGGAUGUGCCGAAAGGUGAAAGGCUUGCCGCCUGAGAAUGAGCUCGCGUCUGAUUAGCUAGUAGGGGGUGUAAGAGACCACCUAGGCGACGAUCAGUAGCUGGUCUGAGAGGAUGAUCAGCCACACUGGGACUGAGACACGGCCCAGACUCCUACGGGAGGCAGCAGUGGGGAAUUUUCCGCAAUGGGCGAAAGCCUGACGGAGCAAUACCGCGUGAGGGAGGAAGGCUCUUGGGUUGUAAACCUCUUUUCUCAAGGAAGAAAAAAAUGACGGUACUUGAGGAAUAAGCAUCGGCUAACUCCGUGCCAGCCGCCGCCGUAAUAC
This 454-nucleotide ribosomal RNA is filed under the name uncultured bacterium. RNAcentral describes it as "bacterial SSU rRNA". It matches the Rfam family "Bacterial small subunit ribosomal RNA", at positions 28 to 526 of the family's 1533-position model. The record is from RNAcentral.